GGCGCUAUAGCCAAGUGGUUACGGCGACAGAUUAGAAUCAUGCGAAAUUGGUCAUCUGUUUCCCUUUGGGAGCGCAGGUUCGAGUCCUGCUGGCGUCG
Molecule: non-coding RNA, 98 nt
Organism: Russula brevipes
Lineage: Eukaryota; Fungi; Basidiomycota; Agaricomycetes; Russulales; Russulaceae
Source: the annotation of a GenBank genome assembly